GGUUAAGUGACUAAGCGUACACGGUGGAUGCCUUGGCAGUCAGAGGCGAUGAAAGACGUAGUAACUUGCGAUAAGCCCAGAUUAGGUAGUAACAACCAUUUGAGUCUGGGAUUUCUGAAUGGGGAAACCCACUUACAUAAGUAAGUAUCAUUAACUGAAUACAUAGGUUAAUGAGGCGAACCGGGGAACUGAAACAUCUAAGUACCCCGAGGAAAAGAAAUCAACCGAGAUUCCGAAAGUAGCGGCGAGCGAAAUUGACUAGCCCUUAAGCUUUACACGCGUUAGACGAACGGUCUGGAAAGUCCGACGAUACAGGGUGAUAGUCCCGUAGUUGACGACGUGUGUUCAGUGAAAUCGAGUAGGGCGGGACACGUGAUAUCCUGUCUGAAUAUGGGGGACCAUCCUCCAAGGCUAAAUACUACUGACUGACCGAUAGUGAACCAGUACCGUGAGGGAAAGGCGAAAAGAACCCCUGUGAGGGGAGUGAAAUAGAACCUGAAACCGUGUACGUACAAGCAGUAGGAGCAGGCUUUGUCCUGUGACUGCGUACCUUUUGUAUAAUGGGUCAGCGACUUAUAUUCAGUGGCAAGGUUAACCAUCUAGGGGAGCCGUAGGGAAACCGAGUCUUAACUGGGCGUUCAGUCUCUGGAUAUAGACCCGAAACCAGGUGAUCUAGCCAUGGGCAGGUUGAAGGUUGAGUAACAUCAACUGGAGGACCGAACCGACUAAUGUUGAAAAAUUAGCGGAUGACUUGUGGCUAGGGGUGAAAGGCCAAUCAAACCUGGAGAUAGCUGGUUCUCCCCGAAAGCUAUUUAGGUAGCGCCUCGGACGAAUACUACUGGGGGUAGAGCACUGUUAAGGCUAGGGGUCAUCCCGACUUACCAACCCUUUGCAAACUCCGAAUACCAGUAAGUACUAUCCGGGAGACACACGGCGGGUGCUAACGUCCGUCGUGGAGAGGGAAACAACCCAGACCGCCAGCUAAGGUCCCAAAUUACUACUAAGUGGGAAACGAUGUGGGAAGGCUCAGACAGCCAGGAUGUUGGCUUAGAAGCAGCCAUCAUUUAAAGAAAGCGUAAUAGCUCACUGGUCGAGUCGGCCUGCGCGGAAGAUGUAACGGGGCUAAGUAGUAAACCGAAGCUGCGGCAAUAUACUUUUGUAUAUUGGGUAGGGGAGCGUUCUGUAAGCGGUUGAAGGUGUGUGGUAACGCAUGCUGGACGUAUCAGAAGUGCGAAUGCUGACAUGAGUAACGAUAAAGGGGUGAAAAACCUCCUCGCCGGAAGACCAAGGGUUCCUGUCCAACGUUAAUCGGGGCAGGGUAAGUCGACCCCUAAGGCGAGGCCGAAAGGCGUAGUCGAUGGGAAACGGGUUAAUAUUCCCGUACUUCUUACAAUUGCGAUGGGGGACGGAGAAGGCUAGGUGGGCCUGGCGACGGUUGUCCAGGUUCAAGUGCGUAGGCUUAAGAGUUAGGUAAAUCCGGCUCUUUUUAAGGCUGAGACACGACGUCGAGCACCUACGGGUGUGAAGUCAUUGAUGCCAUGCUUCCAGGAAAAGCCUCUAAGCUUCAGAUUGUAAGGAAUCGUACCCCAAACCGACACAGGUGGUCGGGUAGAGAAUACCAAGGCGCUUGAGAGAACUCGGGUGAAGGAACUAGGCAAAAUGGUACCGUAACUUCGGGAGAAGGUACGCUCUUGAUGGUGAAGUCCCUCGCGGAUGGAGCUGACGAGAGUCGCAGAUACCAGGUGGCUGCAACUGUUUAUUAAAAACACAGCACUGUGCAAAAUCGUAAGAUGACGUAUACGGUGUGACGCCUGCCCGGUGCCGGAAGGUUAAUUGAUGGGGUUAGACUUCGGUCGAAGCUCUUGAUCGAAGCCCCGGUAAACGGCGGCCGUAACUAUAACGGUCCUAAGGUAGCGAAAUUCCUUGUCGGGUAAGUUCCGACCUGCACGAAUGGCGUAAUGAUGGCCACGCUGUCUCCACCCGAGACUCAGUGAAAUUGAAAUCGCUGUGAAGAUGCAGUGUACCCGCGGCUAGACGGAAAGACCCCGUGAACCUUUACUACAGCUUGGCACUGAACAUUGACCCUACAUGUGUAGGAUAGGUGGGAGGCUUUGAAGCACGUACGCCAGUAUGUGUGGAGCCGUCCUUGAAAUACCACCCUUGUAGUGUUGAUGUUCUAACGUCGACCCCUAAUCGGGGUUGCGGACAGUGCCUGGUGGGUAGUUUGACUGGGGCGGUCUCCUCCCAAAGAGUAACGGAGGAGCACGAAGGUGGGCUAAUCACGGUUGGACAUCGUGAGGUUAGUGCAAUGGCAUAAGCCCGCUUGACUGCGAGAAUGACAAUUCGAGCAGGUGCGAAAGCAGGUCAUAGUGAUCCGGUGGUUCUGAAUGGAAGGGCCAUCGCUCAACGGAUAAAAGGUACUCCGGGGAUAACAGGCUGAUACCGCCCAAGAGUUCAUAUCGACGGCGGUGUUUGGCACCUCGAUGUCGGCUCAUCACAUCCUGGGGCUGAAGUCGGUCCCAAGGGUAUGGCUGUUCGCCAUUUAAAGUGGUACGCGAGCUGGGUUUAGAACGUCGUGAGACAGUUCGGUCCCUAUCUCGCCGUGGGCGUUGGAAGAUUGAAGGGGCUGCUCCUAGUACGAGAGGACCGGAGUGGACGAACCUCUGGUGUUCGGGUUGUGUCGCCAGACGCAUUGCCCGGUAGCUAAGUUCGGAAUCGAUAACCGCUGAAAGCAUCUAAGCGGGAAGCGAGCCCUGAGAUGAGUCUUCCCUGAUACUUUAAGUAUCCUAAAGGGUUGUCGGAGACUACGACGUUGAUAGGUCAGGUGUGUAAGUGCUGUGAGGCAUUGAGCUAACUGAUACUAAUUGCCCGUGAGGCUUAACCAU
RNAcentral lists this ribosomal RNA (2885 nucleotides) under Vibrio parahaemolyticus. Its description in RNAcentral is "23S ribosomal RNA". It matches the Rfam family "Bacterial large subunit ribosomal RNA". The record is from RNAcentral. Lineage: Bacteria; Pseudomonadati; Pseudomonadota; Gammaproteobacteria; Vibrionales; Vibrionaceae.